GGGCGCGGGGGCGCGGGGGCGCGGGGACCGUCGCCUCUGCCCCGCGCACCGCCGGGUGCCCAGCCGCGGGGUCCUCCGUCCCGUUUUAGGGCCUCACCGCCCUUGAGACAAAUAGAAAUAAUAAUAAUAAGUGACCUGAGGUCGGAUCGUGAUGCCAGGAGCCCUCACAGCUUUGUCAGUGGAAUGCACGCUUUCUGGAAGGAAAUUGAGAAGGAACGGAGAGCUUAAAGAAUGCUCACGACCUGAAGUUCCAAGUAAUGGGAGACAAGUGCAAUAGGAUGUCAAUAGAGAUGUUGGCUGGGCCCUGGCUAAGUACCAAAGCUGUGCACAGAAGGUGAUCCAACUGAGAGUCUCCAGCAACCUGCAAUAGUUCCUCAAGACCAGAUAGUCUUACUGGCUUUGUCCCCAUGGCAAACUUCAAGGCCAACAAAAGACAAAGGAGGAGGCAAGACUGCCUCUGAACAAAUGAAUAUAAGUUUCAUGAGAGCAAGAGUAUUGUCUAUUUUGUUCAACUAUGGUACCCUGCAGAGCCUACAAGAGCUCCUUUUGCUCAGAAGCUGGCGCUCACACACCUCCCGCUCCCUUCUUCCUCCCUGUGUGAUGCUGCAAGGAACUCUCAAAAGUGAGGCCCUGGAAAAGAGUCCAGACUGACCUAAAUGGAAAGCAAGCAGCAGAUACGAAGGCUGUGGAUGCACCGAUUGCCAACUCCAUCAUUUUGCAAGCACGAAGCUUCAAAACUUGAGUGAAAAGCUGAUAAACUUGACGAUGUGUGUAUAUGUGAAGUACCUCGUUUAACGACAGGUGUGGCUCAUCAUGGAAGUGUAUAUUUCUCAAUUAUGCAGUUGGCUGGGCUUCUUUGACUUGGUGACACUACCAUCUCAACACAAAACCUCUGCAUUCAACACAACAGGAAAAAAGGAAUGUUUCAG
Canis lupus familiaris (dog) is the source of this 929-nucleotide long non-coding RNA. RefSeq lists it as uncharacterized. NCBI's taxonomy places the organism in Eukaryota, Metazoa, Chordata, Mammalia, Carnivora, Canidae. The transcript has 9 exons. The record is from RefSeq and is a predicted model, not a curated record.